This 468-nucleotide ribosomal RNA is filed under the name uncultured bacterium. Its description in RNAcentral is "partial 16S ribosomal RNA". It matches the Rfam family "Bacterial small subunit ribosomal RNA", at positions 28 to 507 of the family's 1533-position model. The record is from RNAcentral.
GACGAACGCUGGCGGCGUGCUUAACACAUGCAAGUCGAACGGAAAGGCCCUGCUUUUGUGGGGUGCUCGAGUGGCGAACGGGUGAGUAACACGUGAGUAACCUGCCCUAGACCUUGGGAUAACUUCAGGAAACUGGGGCUAAUACCGGAUAGGAGCUCCUGCUGCAUGGUGGGGGUUGGAAAGUUUCGGCGGUUGGGGAUGGACUCGCGGCUUAUCAGCUUGUUGGUGGGGUAGUGGCUUACCAAGGCUUUGACGGGUAGCCGGCCUGAGAGGGUAACCGGCCACAUUGGGACUGAGAUACGGCCCAGACUCCUACGGGAGGCAGCAGUGGGGAAUAUUGCACAAUGGGCGGAAGCCUGAUGCAGCAACGCCGCGUGCGGGAUGACGGCCUUCGGGUUGUAAACCGCUUUCGCCUGUGACGAAGCGUGAGUGACGGUAAUGGGUAAAGAAGCACCGGCUAACUACGUG